GGAGCAGUUUUGAAGGGCAAGGGUAGCCAAUUUGCAAAAAGAACUUCUAGGAAGUUCACCGUGCCAUAUCUUUUUAAAAGGUCCUACCCAAUCAAGCUUUAACUCCUCCAAGCAUGGUAAACUAACCUGUAAUAAGAGUUAUGCGUCAUACCA
This is a long non-coding RNA of Rhodamnia argentea, 153 nucleotides long. RefSeq lists it as uncharacterized. Lineage: Eukaryota; Viridiplantae; Streptophyta; Magnoliopsida; Myrtales; Myrtaceae. The transcript has 4 exons. The record is from RefSeq and is a predicted model, not a curated record.